This 953-nucleotide non-coding RNA is filed under the name Gorilla gorilla gorilla (western lowland gorilla). The record is from Rfam by way of RNAcentral. Lineage: Eukaryota; Metazoa; Chordata; Mammalia; Primates; Hominidae.
AGAUAGAUAGGUUUGGUCCUGGUCUUUACACAUGCAAGCAUCCCCACCCCAGUGAAAAAUGCCCUCUACAUCACCCGGAUCAAAAGGAGCAAGUAUCAAGCAUGCACAAAUGCAGCUCAAAAUACUUUGCUCAACCACACCCCCACGGGAAACAGCAGUGAUAAAUAUUUAGUAACAAAUGAAUGUUUAAGCUAUACUGAUAUAUAGGGUUGGUCAAUUUCGUGCCAGCCACUGUGGCCAUACAAUUAACCCAAGCUAAUAGAACUCAGCGUAAAGAGUGUUUAAGAUCUGCCCUCAAUAAAGCUAAACUCCAUUUAAGUUGUAAAAAACUUAGGCUGAAAUAAAACAUACUACGAAUGUGGCUUUAAUAUCCUGAAGACACGACAGCUAAGAUCCAAACUGGGGUUAGAUACCCCACUAUGCUUAGCCCUAAACUAUAAUAGUUAUAUUAACAAACCCAUUCGCCAGAAUACUAGAAGCAAUAGCUUAAAACUCAAAGGACUUGGUGGUGCUUUAUAUCCCUCUAGGGGAGCCUGUUCUAUAAUCUAUAAUAAUCUAUAAACCCCGAUCUACCUCACCACCUCUUGCCCCCAGCCUAUAUACCGCCAUCUUCAGCAAACCCUAAAAAGGUUAUAGAGUAAGCACAAGUAAUACACAUAAAAACAUUAGGUCAAGGUGUAGCUCAUGAGCUGGGAAGAAAUGGGCUACAUUUUCUAUACCCAGAAAAUCUCACGACAACCUUUAUGAAAUCUAAAGAUUCAAGGAGGAUUUAGCAGUAAACCAAGAGUAGAGUGCUUGGUUGAAUAAGGCCAUGAAGCACACACACACUGCCUGUCACCUUUCCAAAUACUAUUCUAGAAAUCCUUUUUACUAAAAUCUCUCUACACACGUAUAGAGGAGAUAAGUUGUAACACGGUAAGCAUACUGGAAAGUGCAUUUGGACAAACCAAAGU